GGUUGUUGGCUAGAGCGCUCGCCUCACACGCGAGAGGUCACUGGUUCGAGUCCAGUACGGUCCA
Molecule: transfer RNA, 64 nt
Filed under: Acidimicrobiales bacterium
Lineage: Bacteria; Bacillati; Actinomycetota; Acidimicrobiia; Acidimicrobiales
Description: tRNA-Val
Rfam family: tRNA
About the family: Transfer RNA (tRNA) molecules are approximately 80 nucleotides in length. Their secondary structure includes four short double-helical elements and three loops (D, anti-codon, and T loops).
Source: RNAcentral